GCGCGAAAACCUUUAACAAUAGCACGAAAAGUAGUGAUAAGGCAACUCCUUGUGCUUAUCCAAAAAGAAUAGGCUUUUUAGUUAUGUAAUGUAUACUAAGAAAUAAGUGAUGGGCGAAGACCGGUGCCAGCAGCCGCGGUAAUACCGGCGUCACAAGUGGAGAUCACGAUUACUGGGUCUAAAGUGUUCGUAGCUGGUCAUAUAAGUCUCUUGUGAAAGUUCUGUAGCUUAACUCAGAAUUGCAAGAGAUACUGUAUGACUUGAGACCGGAAGA
This 274-nucleotide ribosomal RNA is filed under the name uncultured euryarchaeote. RNAcentral describes it as "partial 16S ribosomal RNA". It matches the Rfam family "Archaeal small subunit ribosomal RNA", at positions 339 to 606 of the family's 1478-position model. The record is from RNAcentral. Lineage: Archaea; Methanobacteriati; Methanobacteriota.